Molecule: non-coding RNA, 21 nt
Filed under: Arabidopsis thaliana (thale cress)
Lineage: Eukaryota; Viridiplantae; Streptophyta; Magnoliopsida; Brassicales; Brassicaceae
Source: RNAcentral
CCCUACACUAUUCCUAAUCAU